AUUGAACGCUGGCGGCAGGCUUAACACAUGCAAGUCGAGCGGGGUGAUGGUGCUUGCACUAUCACUUAGCGGCGGACGGGUGAGUAAUGCUUAGGAAUCUGCCUAUUAGUGGGGGACAACAUCUCGAAAGGGAUGCUAAUACCGCAUACGUCCUACGGGAGAAAGCAGGGGAUCACUUGUGACCUUGCGCUAAUAGAUGAGCCUAAGUCGGAUUAGCUAGUUGGUGGGGUAAAGGCCUACCAAGGUGACGAUCUGUAGCGGGUCUGAGAGGAUGAUCCGCCACACUGGGACUGAGACACGGCCCAGACUCCUACGGGAGGCAGCAGUGGGGAAUAUUGGACAAUGGGGGGAACCCUGAUCCAGCCAUGCCGCGUGUGUGAAGAAGGCCUUAAGGUUGUAAAGCACUUUAAGCGAGGAGGAGGCUCUUUUGGUUAAUACCCAGAAUGAGUGGACGUUACUCGCAGAAUAAGCACCGGCUAACUCUGUGCCAGCCGCCGCAGUAA
RNAcentral lists this ribosomal RNA (503 nucleotides) under uncultured bacterium. RNAcentral's name for it is "partial 16S ribosomal RNA". It matches the Rfam family "Bacterial small subunit ribosomal RNA", at positions 30 to 523 of the family's 1533-position model. The record is from RNAcentral.